Molecule: long non-coding RNA, 1446 nt
Organism: Corticium candelabrum
Lineage: Eukaryota; Metazoa; Porifera; Homoscleromorpha; Homosclerophorida; Plakinidae
Exons: 3
Source: RefSeq, a predicted model, not a curated record
GUCUGUUUUCUUGAGGGGAUACGCUCUCCAUCUGGUGAUUGGUUUGAGGGUGGUGUGUGUGUGUGUGUGUGUGUGUGUGUGUGUGUGUGUGUGUGUGUGUGUGUGUGUGUGUGUGUGUGUGUGUGUGUGUGUGUUUGUGUGUGUGUGGUGUGAGGUGUUGUGAGUAGGCAGGAGAGAAGAAUAGACAUGAUCACACGUCAUCAGAAAUUACUGCAAAACCUCAGAAAAAAGAGAAAUCCAUAAAACAUCUACAAUCACUAAAGACCGAACUCUCUCAACUGUACGAAGACAAGAAACUCGACGGCUACAGCCUUUACCUAUAUGGGAUUGUAUUGAAAGAAUUAGAUCAAAGAGACAAGCUUAGAGGAUUGUUUGAGGAGUGUGUGAACAAGACACCAUUUCUAUGGUCGGCAUGGCAAGAACUAGCAGCAACAUGCAAGGACAGAGAGUCGGUCAGUAUUGUGGCAACUCAAUAAUCUUGUUAACUCAAACAACUCAGUCAAUCAACUACCGGCAAAACCACAUGUCUCGUAUAAUACCCAACUCCACAACAUCCCCCCUCAAACAAAUUAAACUACUCAAACAGCCUUAUUUGUAAAGCUCUAUACCCACUCUUCUAAACGUUCAGGUGGUUGUCCUUUAGUUCUUCUCUGGCUACGUCUAGGUAACUUCUCUGUCUCGAUGGAAUCAUCAUCCGAAUCAGAAUCGGUCACAAUCGCGUUAUUAGCUGGCGAGGAAUGACAUGUUUUCGGAGACAAGAUUCUGCUCGACAAAUGGUUCAUGUGUACUUUUCUAGUAGUGCCUGUGAGAAACCUGACCAUGUAGUAUCUUUGUCCUAGAACUUUGAGAAUUGUUGCUGGUUUCCAAAAACCUUUUCCUUUACUUUCUGGCUGUCUAACAAAACAGCUUCUCCUAAUUGAAAGGGUUUCCUUUCAUGAGACGUAUGAUCAUGUCUUUUCUUUUGUCUCUCUUGACACUCUUGAACUUUGUGUUUCAGUAACUGCUUAGUCUGAUCUUGAUGGCCAGGUAAUUCUGGCAAUAGAAGUGUUUGGUCGUUGGGGUCAGGAUGCAGAAUCCACUCUUUCUGAGGCAUCUCGCAUGGCGCACAUGUGUUUACAAAUAAACUCUGCCCAAUUCAAGAAUCUUGGCAUCGCCGCAUCUCAACAAGUCUCCAGAAAGAAAAUGUACGCAUUAUCGAGAACAAAGUAAAUACAAUAAUUAGCAAGAAGCAAAAAGAACCGAAUGCUAUUUCUAGAUUAGGUUUUAGUUCUAGAUGUUUUGGUCUAGAUUUCAGUUAGUUUGUUGAGAGUAGCAAAGUUCUUGAACUGUGUUCAAGAACAAUACUAUUGUAAUGGACAGUUCACUAUAGACAUUGUAAGGUAGCUCUUUUAAAUUCACGCGUUGUACUAUGAUUAGAAAAUAUUGAAAUAGAGAGAGACAGAGACA